CCCUGCGGAUAAGCUUAAUUUAGGCUGGCGCAGCGGGGGAAGGACUUCGCCUUUGAAAGGGAAAUUAAAUGCCCAGGCUUCAUUUGAGCGCUAGGACGGUAGGGGAGGGGUCAUAGGAAACAAAUGCGAGCCCGAGUCGUGACAGCAUCCUUCCAGUCAGCCAGUCUCCUUGCCACAGUUCAUGAAGUGACACCAUUUUUACGGCUUCCCCGAAACAAUUUCAGUUAAUUCAAAACAAAAUGUACGUGGGUCUUGAUGGAAAUUCUUCUUUCUCAUCUCUUCGAGAACUUGGGAUUUUGAAUCUGGGAACAUUUUGCUUACUAUUUUAGCUUAGAUCAUUUGGCAAGGUGGAAAGCCUAUGCUUAUGUACAAGCUUUUCACGGAGUACGGAUGACUUGUCUGCCCUAUCCAAGCUUAACUAUCAAGGGAAUGACUUUAAAUUUUGCUGGAUGGAACUGCCACUCACCGCUAGAAAUCGGGGAUCGACAGCAAACUCUGGAUGACCCUGUAACCACAUCUCCAGUUCAGCCCGGCGAGGGGCAUCCUCACCCACGAGCAAAGUACCAUCCACCUUAUUGAUGACAGGGAUCCGGGUCUCCAGGUCCACAUCAAGUGCCUAAAUACUCAGCUUACAUCUUUGAUCUGAACCGUAAACUCUUUCUCAUCCAUGCCUCGGCGAAGUCUGGUGAACUGAGCAGCGGCUGUGGUGACUGCAGACACUUCCUCCUCUGCCAUGGAAGCUGCGCUGCUACUGCGUGGUGUGGGGACUGGAGAGUCACCAUAUUCUCCCGGAGUCAACGAGGGACUGUCCAGCAAGUGGUUGCCUGGCCCCAAAAUUCCUCCUGUUACCACUUCCUGGCUCCGGCGACUAGAAGGCCACUUCCCUGAGAGUACAGCCUGGCAGACGAGGUCAAUACGGUUUAUCAGGACACGAUCCUGAGUAGGGGAAAAAGAAAUCAAUUAGUCAUGUGAUCCUGUGACAAGUAAUAAUGCCAUCAUUAACAAGAUAAGUAAAAAUUAUAUGUCAAAAAUGACGGAGGUAAGAGUAUCAGAUCCCAAAGUCAACUGGUAAGAGCUUCAUGAAAAAACAUGUACCACUAAACAUAAUCAAAGAAACCUAGAACCAUCUACUUGUUCUCUGUGUAUGUCACUCUUUUUAGAAUUUUUUCAUUGGAGGAUAAUUACUUUAUAGUAUUGUGACAGUU
Odocoileus virginianus texanus is the source of this 1205-nucleotide non-coding RNA. Lineage: Eukaryota; Metazoa; Chordata; Mammalia; Artiodactyla; Cervidae. The record is from RefSeq and is a predicted model, not a curated record.